Molecule: ribosomal RNA, 253 nt
Filed under: uncultured bacterium
Lineage: Bacteria
Description: partial 16S ribosomal RNA
Rfam family: Bacterial small subunit ribosomal RNA
Source: RNAcentral
GACGGGGGGGGCAAGUGUUCUUCGGAAUGACUGGGCGUCAAGGGCACGUAGGCGGCCAUACAGGUCCGUUGUGAAAACUGGAGGCUUAACCUCCAGACGUCGAUGGAAACCGUAUGGCUAGAGUCCGGAAGAGGAGAGUGGAAUUCCUGGUGUAGCGGUGAAAUGCGCAGAUAUCAGGAAGAACACCCGUGGCGAAGGCGGCUCUCUGGGACGGUACUGACGCUGAGACGCGAAAGCGUGGGGAGCGAACAGG